ACCUGCCCACUGAAAUUUUGAAUGGCCGCAGUAAUUUGACUGUGCAAAGGUAGCAUAAUCAUUAGUUUUUUAAUUAAAAGCUUGUAUGAAGGGUUGGACGAGGUAAAAGCUGUCUCUAUUUAAUUUAAAAUAGAAUUUAAUUUUUAAGUUAAAAAGCUUAAAUAUUUUUAAAAGACGAGAAGACCCUAUAGAUCUUUAUAUUAUUUUUUUUAAUUUUAAUUAAGAAUAUUUUAUUUAUUAAUAAAAAUAAUAUUUUAUUGGGGUAAUAAAAAGAUUAAAAAAAUUCUUUUUUUAUUUUUACAUUAAUAAAUGAAUUUAUGAUCCAAUAAUAUUGAUUAAAAGAUUAAGUUACCUUAGGGAUAACAGCGUAAUUUUUUUAGAGAGUUCAUAUCGAUAAAAAAGUUUGCGACCUCGAUGUUGGAUUAAAAAUUAUCUUAGGUGCAGAAGUUUAAGAUUUUGGUCUGUUCGACCAUUGAAUUUU
RNAcentral lists this ribosomal RNA (481 nucleotides) under Lancetes lanceolatus. RNAcentral describes it as "partial 16S ribosomal RNA". It matches the Rfam family "Bacterial large subunit ribosomal RNA", at positions 1857 to 2596 of the family's 2925-position model. Lineage: Eukaryota; Metazoa; Arthropoda; Insecta; Coleoptera; Dytiscidae. The record is from RNAcentral.